Zonotrichia leucophrys gambelii is the source of this 713-nucleotide long non-coding RNA. RefSeq lists it as uncharacterized. The transcript has 3 exons. The record is from RefSeq and is a predicted model, not a curated record. NCBI's taxonomy places the organism in Eukaryota, Metazoa, Chordata, Aves, Passeriformes, Passerellidae.
UCUCACAUCCCAGCUGACCCCAAUACCAGAGCGGAGCUUGCAGCGAGUCCCUGCUCCCUCCAGGCGCUGAUCAGCUCUCUGAGUGUGUGGGAAUGCAGGGUUUCUGGUGGCACAAUUCACAAAAUGCGUCAUCCAACACAGAGAAAUUGAAGGAAACUGCACAGAAUGCUGGAUUUAAGACAAAGAAGUGCUUCAUGGCUUAAGUAUUUUCUUUUAAUCUAUAUGUUUUUAAGUACGUGCAUGUUCCCUUGAAACUCCUGGGUGGACACCAUCUGCUCCAGAUCAUUCAUUCCAUUUCAUUGGUAUUUAUGUGACGGAGAGUACAAGAGCACUCGUCAAACGCCUACAGCAGAUUCGAACUCGUCGGAGUCUUCAAGGCACCACUCUCACACAGAUAAGUUAAUAAUGACAUUAAUAACCUCAGAGAACUCGUGACAGGGCCCUGCAAAUUUGUAACCAAAAUAUGUAACCCAAGGCACCUUCUUGAUUGUGCUUUAGUUUACCACAGCAACGUGGAAGCGCUGUGUGUCCCAAAUGCCCUUCAGUUUGAGGGCUCUCCUCAUGUAAAAUAUAGUCAAAGCCAUCACCAUUCUGUACAGCUCAAAAGCUCCUUUUCCUCUCAAUUUUCUUGCUGAAAUUACCUCUGAGACAACACUUUACCCCUCACUCCUAUUAAAUGAUUAUACAGCAAGAGCUAUUUCUUAAGUGGGAUG